This 70-nucleotide transfer RNA is filed under the name Marmota monax (woodchuck). RNAcentral describes it as "tRNA.Ala". The record is from RNAcentral. Lineage: Eukaryota; Metazoa; Chordata; Mammalia; Rodentia; Sciuridae.
GAGCUGGGGCUCAGUGGUAGAGUGCUCGCCUGGCAUGCAUGAGGCACUGGGUUCAAUCCUCAGUACCACA